GGAUAAAAUCAGCCCGGGCCCUUUGUGGAUGAUGGAUAUUUGCCAACUCAUACAGAGCUCUGGAAAUUGGAAAUGAAUAGCAGAGACAUGUUCGAUAACCAAUUCAAAUUGUAUUCAUACGUCAGUUAUAUUUAUACCCCAUUUUCAUAGCAGGAUGGGAGGGGGAAAAAUGAGCAUAUGGGCGUGACAAUGACAUUGUUUUUCACAAGUUAUAAACAGCUGUUUUUAGUUAUAAUUCAAUGUUACAUAAUGUAUGCAUAUUGGAUAAAACCCAGAUGAUUACAAAUACCAAAAUCUUGGACAAUUAACAAGGUCAUUCCAGAAUCCUUAUCAUGUCAUGUCAUGUCAUGUAAAUAUCCUUUUCCAGGAACAUAACAAAAUCAUGUUCCAAUAAAUAGAUACGUUUUAUUUCCGAGAAUUGGAGAUACAAUUCCAAAUUUAUUCUUGGGUCAAAUUAACCCUUAUAUGAACAGCUAGGAUAUUGAGCAUAAUGGAUAUUCGCAUCUACAAUUCCCCUCUUAGAUCAUAUCAUGAUCUACCUUACGGAAUAUUCAUGGGAGGCCUGCGGCAGAGAAACCAAAGGAGGUAUAUUCAGACGUGCUAAUCACGUCUGCGGGACUUUCAUUAUUUCUUCACCUCGAUUUCCCCCAUUUGCUCUGUGCCGUAGGUUUUCCCUUUAAGAGGAGAUCGAGCUGUCGAUUUUCAGCUUUUGUAAUCAUCUGUUGUACACAUCUUUUAAGUGUACAAGUUAAAAAUUUCAAACAGCUGACUUCUUAACCAAUUUUAAACAUACUGCAC
This 798-nucleotide long non-coding RNA is filed under the name Pelobates cultripes (western spadefoot toad). The record is from RNAcentral. Lineage: Eukaryota; Metazoa; Chordata; Amphibia; Anura; Pelobatidae.